UGACAUAUUCUCUCACACAUCUCCUGAUUUUUCUUGCAUAAAAGCGCACACAAACUCAUAAUAAGGCAUUCUUGAAUCUCUGCAUUUCUUCAGAAAAAGAACACUUUUCAUUCUACAAAAAAGCUCUCGAGGAAAAACUGAAAUUGUUUUCAAAUAUCAAUACAUUUGGUUGGUAUUUUCUGGGAUUUCAAAGGGGUCUCAAGUUACCAGAACUGUUAUUUUAUUGGUUGAAUCUGUUGUCUCUGCUUUGCUGAAUUAAAUAUCAUCUUUUCUUCCUUGAUUGAUUCAUUUCAAGGUAUUUCUUAACCUUUGAUUUGUAGCUUUGUGGAAUGAUAAAAUCAUGUCUAUUAUAUAAAGAUUGUUGUUGAUCUAAGGUUAUUUAUGCCUCUCUGCUGAAGUUCAAUGAGCUGAUAUGCUUGACCUUGUUAUAAUCUGUUGGUUCGAACAAAAUUUAAUUUGAUAAAAAUAUUAUGUUCUAUUUGUGAAUCAUGCCUGCUUUGUCUAAUGGUCGAAGAGGUUUUAGUCAUUGCUUGGCAAUUAUACAGGUUCGAAGUUGAAAAGUCUUCAACCAGUUAAUACCAUGGUUACUCUAGUUUAACUUGUGUAACUGUUGUUAAAAUGAAAGUAGCUAGCAUUGCAAAUUUGGAAAUCAGGAGUUAAUCCUGCGACUAGUGUGUUAACAGACUUUGCUUAGCUUGAAUUCGAUUCGCUAAUUCCUUUACUAACACAUGUAGCUUAUUUGAUAUGAGUUGUUAGUUUUCGAGUUUGUUGCUGUAAAAUCCAGUUUUGUGUUCUUAGGAUAAGAACCUCGUGAUCAUUGUGGGCUUGGAAUUUUCAGAGAUUGAAAUGAAAGAGUAAGCUGUUGAGCAUUGGGUGUAUGAGUAGAAUUCACUGCUUAGAAUUCAUUUGUUGCUAAAAAUCUGUAAAUGAUUUCAGAAGAGUUAGUCCUGGGACAAUUGUUCAUUAAAAUAAGAUCUCUGUUAUGC
Molecule: long non-coding RNA, 986 nt
Filed under: Nicotiana tabacum (common tobacco)
Lineage: Eukaryota; Viridiplantae; Streptophyta; Magnoliopsida; Solanales; Solanaceae
Description: long non-coding RNA (NTAB_LNC004851)
Source: RNAcentral